CGGAGGAUCCAAGCGUUAUCCGGAAUCAUUGGGUUUAAAGGGUCCGUAGGCGGUUUAGUAAGUCAGUGGUGAAAGCCCAUCGCUCAACGGUGGAACGGCCAUUGAUACUGCUAGACUUGAAUUAUUAGGAAGUAACUAGAAUAUGUAGUGUAGCGGUGAAAUGCUUAGAGAUUACAUGGAAUACCAAUUGCGAAGGCAGGUUACUACUAAUGGAUUGACGCUGAUGGACGAAAGCGUGGGUAGCGAACAGGAUUAGAUACCCUGGUAGUCCACGCCGUAAACGAUGGAUACUAGCUGUUGGGAGCAAUCUCAGCGGCUAAGCGAAAGUGAUAAGUACUCCCACCUGGGGAGUACGGGCGCAAGCCUG
RNAcentral lists this ribosomal RNA (367 nucleotides) under uncultured organism. RNAcentral's name for it is "bacterial SSU rRNA". It matches the Rfam family "Bacterial small subunit ribosomal RNA", at positions 526 to 896 of the family's 1533-position model. The record is from RNAcentral.